AGUGAACGCUGGCGGCAGGCCUAACACAUGCAAGUCGAGCGGCAGCGCGUCCGACCACCCUCGGGUGGUCGGAUGGCGGCGAGCGGCGGACGGGUGAGGAAUGCAUCGGAAUCUGCCUCGUUGUGGGGGAUAACGUAGGGAAACUUACGCUAAUACCGCAUACGACCUACGGGUGAAAGUGGGGGACCUUCGGGCCUCACGCGAUGAGAUGAGCCGAUGCCGGAUUAGCUAGUUGGCGGGGUAAAGGCCCACCAAGGCGACGAUCCGUAGCUGGUCUAAGAGGAUGAUCAGCCACACUGGAACUGAGACACGGUCCAGACUCCUACGGGGGGCAGCAGUGGGGAAUAUUGGACAAUGGGGGCAACCCUGAUCCAGCCAUGCCGCGUGUGUGAAGAAGGCCUUCGGUUGU
RNAcentral lists this ribosomal RNA (409 nucleotides) under uncultured bacterium. RNAcentral's name for it is "bacterial SSU rRNA". It matches the Rfam family "Bacterial small subunit ribosomal RNA", at positions 30 to 426 of the family's 1533-position model. The record is from RNAcentral.